ACGAACGCUGGCGGCGUGCCUAAUACAUGCAAGUUGAGCGCUGAAGGUUGGUACUUGUACCAACUGAAUGAGCAGCGAACGGGUGAGUAACGCGUGGGGAAUCUGCCUUUGAGCGGGGGACAACAUUUGGAAACGAAUGCUAAUACCGCAUAAAAACUUUAAACACAAGUUUUAAGUUUGAAAGAUGCAAUUGCAUCACUCAAAGAUGAUCCCGCGUUGUAUUAGCUAGUUGGUGAGGUAAAGGCUCACCAAGGCGAUGAUACAUAGCCGACCUGAGAGGGUGAUCGGCCACAUUGGGACUGAGACACGGCCCAAACUCCUACGGGAGGCAGCAGUAGGGAAUCUUCGGCAAUGGACGAAAGUCUGACCGAGCAACGCCGCGUGAGUGAAGAAGGUUUUCGGAUCGUAAAACUCUGUUGGUAGAGAAGAACGUUGGUGAGAGUGGAAAGCUCAUCAAGUGACGGUAACUACCCAGAAAGGGACGGCUAACUACGUG
This 496-nucleotide ribosomal RNA is filed under the name uncultured bacterium. RNAcentral describes it as "partial 16S ribosomal RNA". It matches the Rfam family "Bacterial small subunit ribosomal RNA", at positions 29 to 507 of the family's 1533-position model. The record is from RNAcentral.